UACGAAGGGUGCGAGCGUUGUUCGGAAUUACUGGGCGUAAAGGGUUCGUAGGCGGGAACUUAAGUCACGUGUGAAAUCCCCAGGCUCAACCUGGGACGUGCACGUGAAACUGAGUUUCUUGAAUCUUGGAGAGGGUGAUGGAAUUGCUGGUGUAGGAGUGACAUCCGUAGAGAUCAGCAGGAACACCGGAGGCGAAGGCGAUCACCUGGCCAAAGAUUGACGCUGAGGAACGAAAGCGUGGGGAGCAAACAGG
Molecule: ribosomal RNA, 253 nt
Filed under: uncultured prokaryote
Description: partial 16S ribosomal RNA
Rfam family: Bacterial small subunit ribosomal RNA
Source: RNAcentral